Long non-coding RNA from Acanthopagrus latus (yellowfin seabream), 1104 nucleotides. RefSeq lists it as uncharacterized. The transcript is spliced from 3 exons. The record is from RefSeq and is a predicted model, not a curated record. NCBI's taxonomy places the organism in Eukaryota, Metazoa, Chordata, Actinopteri, Spariformes, Sparidae.
CAGGAUGAUACUCUAUUUUCUCCCUUCCAGAUAACGCGUCUGUGUGUGUGUGUGUGUGUGUGUGUGUGUGUGUGUGUGUGUGUCCCCUUUUUUUUUUUUUUCCCCUUCACAGCGAAGGAAAAAGAAGACAGAGCAGCGCUGCCUAUUCACUCACUGACGCAAACUAUAAGACCUGUCUGUCUCUGCGGGGCCCGUGAAUAGCUCCUUAUGCCACAUGCCGACCAAUAGAAACGCAGAGUGCUCCUCUGUGUGCGGCUGAACACGGCGAGCUGGAAGGAGGAGAUAUGGCGCUUUAGAUGCUGCAAGGGAGAGAACUGUGAAAACAGAGGUCAUGAGACAAACAGCAUCGCGCACGUCGCCAUUCUUUGUUUAUGCUGUUGUUCUGUGAAGUUGGUGGCCUGAAGCACCUCUUUCCUGGCGACGUCAACCCGGGAUGUAGAAAGGAAAGGGCCGCAGAGACAGAGGUAGCAGGCUCAGACACGCAACCGGCUGCUGCACCAGGAGCUGACCUCCAAUAUGGUCGCAGGAGAGUGCUUUAGAACGUCACCUCGAACGCCCCCCCCCUCCCCGACAGGAAGCGUCCGCCAGUUGUCCAUUUGGCUCGGUGCAGAUGAGUGACAUGAGAUCCAUAGUGACACCGGUGGGCACGUAAAGCUUUUACCAGCAGCGGAGCGAGCGUGUCCCUCCUUCACACAUGGCCGGGUCCUGAAGGAGACGGGAGUUAUACCUGACCGGGGGCAGACAUGUACGCAUGUACAAGGGCACGCGUGUGCGGCCAAACACACACAUACACACACACACACACACACACACACACACAUAAGCAUGCGGUGGCUUAAUCCCAGGGGAGAAGUCAGGAGUCUGGACAUCAGACUUUACAGCAGAAAGCACGCUCCAUCAGUCCACGGGGAGACCAUUUGAGUAGAGGCAGUCUGCCUCACUCACCGUCAAACUUGUCAGUCCUGCUCUGGUGGAAUUCCUCCCCCCCCCACCACCAACCCCUGAACAAUAAGUUUAAUGGAUGUUCACUGUAUCCCCCCUCCCUCCAAGUGAAGCAAAUCAUAGCUGUGUGGUAAAAAAAUAAAUAAAAAAAUCUUCAAUAAG